Molecule: long non-coding RNA, 1205 nt
Filed under: Apteryx rowi (Okarito brown kiwi)
Lineage: Eukaryota; Metazoa; Chordata; Aves; Apterygiformes; Apterygidae
Description: lncRNA (ENSARWG00000013913.1)
Source: RNAcentral
CAGGAACUUCAGUAGUAUUAUGAGAAAUUCAGUUUUUGAGAGAACUUUUUUGGAGGCUGCCCAAGUUUAGUGCAUCUUCAGGAGUUUUUAAUGUCUCAUUGGUAAAGUACUUCAUAUUUUUAAUGACAGAGUUACUUUUCCAUAACUGCAGUGUAGGAGAAGAUGGCGUGAACUGCCUACUGUGAGCCUGAGUUCUGACUGAUGUUCUUUAUUUCACUCUUUCUUCUGCAGCAAGUUGGCAAAUUGGAGCUGGAACUGGAACCUACGUCUCUAAAAUGGCAGAACUAAAUAUCAACAGCUUUGUGAUACUACCUUAUUUAAAAAAAAAAAAAAAAAGGCCAAAUCUUACAUUUGCUUAAUGCAUGCUCAUGCAGUUUGUCCCUCCCUUCCUUACUGCUAGCUAGAUGGGAGCUAGAAUCCCGGGAAUGUGCUGUUUUCCCUGCGGGAAGGCACACUGCCCUUCACCUCAAGUGGUUGCACUGUGGCCUUGGUGAUACCUGGUGAUGACCGGGACAGGCUUGUUGCUGUUGAAGUUUCUUGCUAUGGGACAGCACUCUCAUGCUAGUAAUCCCCACACUCAGCUCUUGCCUCUUUACAGGUCUGCAAAGACAAGUAGACUAAGCCUCAAGCUGAAAGAACUCCAAACAGGAAUCCCUCAAUAAAUUUUCCCAUCAAAUGGAACUGUACAGUUCACUGUCCCAGAGCUGCAGACCCUUGAAACAGUGAAGUCCUCAACCACCUUUCAAGCUGGCUUCUGUGAAGCUGAAUCCGUGGAAGACUCCAUCGAUUUGGGGAGAAUUAUGCUGAUAUCAACUUGUCUCUGUGGAACAUUGUGAUUUUGACAAAUCAGCAGAUUCCUGUUGAAGUGUUUGUAAUUUUUUAUUGGUUGUAAUUAUAGUGCUGUAGUUAUUGAUUACUUUCACCCAGAGAGAGAAGCAUAUCUAAUUACAAAGUGAUUAAGUUAGCCUAGUAACUGUCUCAGUAGUGGUCUGCUCAGAAUGAUUUCUUAUGGGAGCGCUUUAUGGUGACAGCUGGCAGUGGCUGCAGUGAGACAGCUGACUGCAAAGUUUGUUCAGGUUAGCUUUAGUUCAUUAAAAUAGUAUGGUUGGUUGCUUGCAAGCCGUAUUUAAGUUCUUUGUGCAGGUCCAGUUUGUCAGGUCAAAGCUAAUUAAAAUAAAACCACAGACUAUUGGAAAUGGAGAACA